GCGGUCGUGGCGAAGUGGUUAACGCACCGGAUUGUGGCUCCGGCAUUCGUGAGUUCGAUUCUCAUCGACCGCCCCA
Molecule: transfer RNA, 76 nt
Filed under: Bacilli bacterium
Lineage: Bacteria; Bacillati; Bacillota; Bacilli
Also listed under: 2 other names
Description: tRNA-His
Rfam family: tRNA
About the family: Transfer RNA (tRNA) molecules are approximately 80 nucleotides in length. Their secondary structure includes four short double-helical elements and three loops (D, anti-codon, and T loops).
Source: RNAcentral